GCUGGCGGCGUGCCUAAUACAUGCCAGUCGAGCGAGCCGAACCAAUUGAUUACCUUCGGGUAUGAAGUUAGGGAAGCGAGCGGCGGAUGGGUGAGUAACACGUGGGUAACCUACCCUAUAGUCUUAGUCUGGGAUACCACUUGGAAACAGGUGCUAAUACCGGAUAAAAGGAGAGAUCACAUGAUUUCUUUUUGAAAGGCGGCGUAAGCUGUCGCUAAAGGAUGGACCCGCGGUGCAUUAGCUAGUUGGUAAGGUAACGGCUUACCAAGGCAACGAUGCAUAGCCGAGUUGAGAGACUGAUCGGCCACAUUGGGACUGAGACACGGCCCAAACUCCUACGGGAGGCAGCAGUAGGGAAUCUUCCACAAUGGACGCAAGUCUGAUGGAGCAACGCCGCGUGAGUGAAGAAGGUUUUCGGAUCGUAAAGCUCUGUUGUUGGUGAAGAAAGAUAGUGAGAGUAACUGCUCAUUAUUUGCCGGUAAUCAACCAGAAAGUCACGGCUAACUACGUGCCAGCAGCCGCGGUAAUACGUAGGUGGCAAGCGUUGUCCGGAUUUAUUGGGCGUAAAGCGAGCGCAGGCGGAAAGAUAAGUCAGAUGUGAAAGCCCUCGGCUUAACCGAGGAAUAGCAUCGGAAACUGUCUUUCUUGAGUGCAGAAGAGGAGAGUGGACCUCCCAUGUGUAGCGGUGGAAUGC
This 694-nucleotide ribosomal RNA is filed under the name uncultured Lactobacillus sp. Its description in RNAcentral is "bacterial SSU rRNA". It matches the Rfam family "Bacterial small subunit ribosomal RNA", at positions 35 to 689 of the family's 1533-position model. The record is from RNAcentral. Lineage: Bacteria; Bacillati; Bacillota; Bacilli; Lactobacillales; Lactobacillaceae.